Molecule: transfer RNA, 72 nt
Filed under: Bos taurus (domestic cattle)
Lineage: Eukaryota; Metazoa; Chordata; Mammalia; Artiodactyla; Bovidae
Also listed under: 4 other names
Rfam family: tRNA
About the family: Transfer RNA (tRNA) molecules are approximately 80 nucleotides in length. Their secondary structure includes four short double-helical elements and three loops (D, anti-codon, and T loops).
Source: Rfam by way of RNAcentral
UCCCUGGUCAUUUAGGUGGUAAAAAAUCUGCCUGCAAUGCAGAAGAUCCAGAUUCAAUCCCUGGGUUGGGAA